GGAGUCUGGGCCGUAUCUCAGUCCCAAUGUGGCCGGUCGGUCUCUCAACCCGGCUACCCGUCGUCGGCACGGUGGGCCUCCACCCCGCCGUCUGCCUGAUGGGCCGCGACCCCAUCCCGCGCCGCCGGAGCUUUCCCGGCCGGCCCAUGCGGGCCCGCCGGAGUAUCCGGUAUCAAUCCCCCUUUCGGGGGGCUGUCCCGGUGCGCGGGGCAGGUUGGUCACGUGUUACUCACCCGUUCGCCACUUUAUCCACCCCCGGAGGGGCUUUAACCGUUCGACUUGCAUGUGUUAGGCACGCCGCCAGCGUUCAUC
RNAcentral lists this ribosomal RNA (312 nucleotides) under uncultured Coriobacteriaceae bacterium. RNAcentral's name for it is "partial 16S ribosomal RNA". The record is from RNAcentral. Lineage: Bacteria; Bacillati; Actinomycetota; Coriobacteriia; Coriobacteriales; Coriobacteriaceae.